CUACGGGUCGCAGCAGUGAGGAAUUUUGCGCAAUGGGGGAAACCCUGACGCAGCAACGCCGCGUGAGUGAUGAAGGCCUUCGGGUCGUAAAGCUCUGUCAAGUGGGAAGAACCUAUCCAAGGGUAAUAUUUUUGGGUACUGACGGUACCACUGAAGGAAGCACCGGCUAACUCCGUGCCAGCAGCCGCGGUAAUACGGGGGGUGCAAGCGUUAUUCGGAAUUAUUGGGCGUAAAGGGCGCGUAGGCGGUUUUGUUAGUCAGAUGUGAAAGCCCGGGGCUCAACCCCGGAAGUGCAUUUGAAACGGCAAGACUUGAGUAUGGGAGAGGGAAGUGGAAUUCCUGGUGUAGAGGUGAAAUUCGUAGAUAUCAGGAGGAACAUCUGUGGCGAAGGCGACUUCCUGGACCAAUACUGACGCUAAUGCGCGAAGGCGUGGGUAGCAAACAGGAUUAGAUACCCCGGUAGUC
Molecule: ribosomal RNA, 465 nt
Filed under: uncultured bacterium
Lineage: Bacteria
Description: partial 16S ribosomal RNA
Rfam family: Bacterial small subunit ribosomal RNA
Source: RNAcentral